This 253-nucleotide ribosomal RNA is filed under the name uncultured bacterium. Its description in RNAcentral is "partial 16S ribosomal RNA". It matches the Rfam family "Bacterial small subunit ribosomal RNA", at positions 524 to 776 of the family's 1533-position model. The record is from RNAcentral.
UACGAAGGGGGCUAGCGUUGCUCGGAAUCACUGGGCGUAAAGCGCACGUAGGCGGAUUGCUAAGUCAGGGGUGAAAUCCUGGAGCUCAACUCCAGAACUGCCUUUGAUACUGGCGAUCUUGAGUCCGGGAGAGGUGAGUGGAACUGCGAGUGUAGAGGUGAAAUUCGUAGAUAUUCGCAAGAACACCAGUGGCGAAGGCGGCUCACUGGCCCGGUACUGACGCUGAGGAGCGAAAGCGUGGGGAGCGAACAGG